UACGUAGGGGGCAAGCGUUGUCCGGAUUUAUUGGGCGUAAAGAGCGUGUAGGCGGCCAUGCAGGUCAGCUGUGAAAACUCGAGGCUCAACCUCGAGAUGUCGGUUGAAACCGCAUGGCUAGAGUCCGGAAGAGGAGAGUGGAAUUCCCGGUGUAGCGGUGAAAUGCGCAGAUAUCGGGAAGAACACCCGUGGCGAAGGCGGCUCUCUGGGACGGUACUGACGCUGAGACGCGAAAGCGUGGGGAGCGAACAGG
This 253-nucleotide ribosomal RNA is filed under the name uncultured bacterium. RNAcentral's name for it is "partial 16S ribosomal RNA". It matches the Rfam family "Bacterial small subunit ribosomal RNA", at positions 524 to 776 of the family's 1533-position model. The record is from RNAcentral.